GACGAACGCUGGCGGCGUGCUUAACACAUGCAAGUCGAACGCUGAAGCUCAGCUUUUGUUGGGUGGAUGAGUGGCGAACGGGUGAGUAACACGUGAGUAACCUGCCUCCUUCUUUGGGAUAACGCCCGGAAACGGGUGCUAAUACUGGAUAUUCACUGGUCUUCGCAUGGGGGUUGGUGGAAAGGGGUUUUCUGGUGGGGGAUGGGCUCGCGGCCUAUCAGCUUGUUGGUGGGGUGAUGGCCUACCAAGGCUUUGACGGGUAGCCGGCCUGAGAGGGUGACCGGUCACUUUGGGACUGAGAUACGGCCCAGACUCCUACGGGAGGCAGCAGUGGGGAAUAUUGCACAAUGGGCGCAAGCCUGAUGCAGCGACGCCACGUGAGGGAUGGAGGCCUUCGGGUUGUGAACCUCUUUCGCUCAUGGUCAAGCCGCAACAAUGGUUGUGGUGAGGGUAGUGGGUAAAGAAGCGCCGGCUAACUACGUG
Molecule: ribosomal RNA, 483 nt
Filed under: uncultured bacterium
Lineage: Bacteria
Description: partial 16S ribosomal RNA
Rfam family: Bacterial small subunit ribosomal RNA
Source: RNAcentral